AACGAACGCUUGCGGCGCGCCUAAUACAUGCAAGUCGAACGACGUAGCAAUACGGAGUGGCGCACGGGUGAGUAACACGUGGAUAAUCUGCCCUCUACUGGGGAAUAACUAACCGAAAGGUUAGCUAACACCGCAUGAGACCACAGUGCCUGCGGGCACAGAGGUUAAAAAUUUAUUGGUAGAGGAUGAGUCUGCGCGGG
This 200-nucleotide ribosomal RNA is filed under the name uncultured bacterium. RNAcentral describes it as "partial 16S ribosomal RNA". It matches the Rfam family "Bacterial small subunit ribosomal RNA", at positions 29 to 239 of the family's 1533-position model. The record is from RNAcentral.